UACGUAGGGGGCGAGCGUUGUCCGGAAUUACUGGGCGUAAAGCGAGCGCAGGUGGUUUAUUAAGUCUGGUGUAAAAGGCAGUGGCUCAACCAUUGUGUGCAUUGGAAACUGUUAGACUUGAGUGCAGUAGAGGAGAGUGGAAUUCCAUGUGUAGCGGUGAAAUGCGUAGAUAUAUGGAGGAACACCGGUGGCGAAAGCGGCUCUCUGGACUGUAACUGACACUGAGGCUCGAAAGCGUGGGUAGCAAACAGG
This 252-nucleotide ribosomal RNA is filed under the name uncultured microorganism. RNAcentral's name for it is "partial 16S ribosomal RNA". It matches the Rfam family "Bacterial small subunit ribosomal RNA", at positions 524 to 776 of the family's 1533-position model. The record is from RNAcentral.